RNAcentral lists this long non-coding RNA (1410 nucleotides) under Paramuricea clavata. The record is from RNAcentral. Lineage: Eukaryota; Metazoa; Cnidaria; Anthozoa; Malacalcyonacea; Plexauridae.
UAACAAUGUUUUUCCAAACAUUUUUUUUUUAUUAAUUUACAUCAUUUUCAACUAAUUUAAUUAAAAACCUUUUAUAUUACAGCGAACAAAGCCGAUCACAGUAGAGAUUGAUUAAUAGCUGAACAGCAAUUACAUUGUGAAAUUUUACAACUUUGCACUAUAAAUUCUCAAAUAUAUUCACGGAAUCCGUAUAAUCUUCUCUUCUGCGUUCGUUUCACAAACUGUAGGUCGCUGACAUGUGUAAAAAUUCUGCAUUGCAAUCAAUACCCACAGCAAACGUGCAGCGGAGAUAGCUUUCCGUAGUGACGUGAAAAACACCUAAGGGACCGGUCAUAAAGUAACUGCUAGGGCGGGCUGGAGUGAUUUGGGAUGGGCCAUGGAAAAUCUUUGCCCGGCAGUUUCGAUUUUUUUUUAUGUCAAUUUUUUUGUAUGUCCACGGUUGGGCCACCAAACAAAAACUCAUGCAUCUCUACUUCAAAAAUAAAGAUAUUAAUAAUAAAAGUAUAAACAAAACUAUCCAAAUUAUCAAAUGCAAAUGAUGCUAUUGAAGCCAGUACUUUGUUUAUACAACAACAAGAACUGGUCGAAUCACAGCAAAUACAACCAACUGGAGAGCAGCUCAGUAUCGUAAUUGGUGAUGAUUGUGUUGGUCAAGCUUGGUGGAAUUAUGUAUGUCAAUACAGUGCCGGUGUAUAUUUACAAUGUUCAUACCUGCAAGUUUUUUUUAUUAUAAAAGUGUAUAUUUUCCCAAUUUAAAUUGGGUGGGUCAUGAAAAUUUUUUUGUAAGAUUAGAUGGGCUUUGAAAUUUUUAUCUUCAUCCUAAGAUGGGUCACCAAACUUAUUGGCAAAAUUUGUGAUUUACCUCCAGCCCACCCUAGCAGUUACUUUAUGACCAGUCCCUAAUCACCUAUCCGUACAGGUUUUAGGAACGCUAUUUUCAUAGGAAUUAUUGCCAAGGAGAGAUGUUGUUUCGCUCAGCUUCUGAAAGUUGUACAUUCCGUAUCGGAUAGGUGCUUUUUCGCGCCGCUACGGAGCCGGAGGGCUAUUCUGUAUAGUGUAACGUAGUCUAGGUAAAACAGUAGUGUCUGGUGGACUCAGUCCGUUUAAUUCAAUUUCUGGAAAGCAUUAACGCACUAUAUUCUUCAGAUUCCAAAAUAGUUUUAUAUGUGCUUUUAAAGUGCAUCAAUGGCUGCCCAAAGGCACAUUCUGAUCUUCAUUUUCAUUGAAAUUUUUUGUUAUGGUUAUGUGCAUAAUAUAAUCACACCAUGGCCAUUUCUGGUUCGUAAGUGUGUGGCGUAAAUUUCAGCGAACGAGCUGUCUGUCUGUAAACGAAUUGUCUUGCUUGUUCCGUCAAAUAUUUCUGAUCUUCCGUCUGACCACACGCCACUUCUUGAAAGGACUACAUUAAAA